RNAcentral lists this ribosomal RNA (500 nucleotides) under uncultured bacterium. Its description in RNAcentral is "partial 16S ribosomal RNA". It matches the Rfam family "Bacterial small subunit ribosomal RNA", at positions 30 to 523 of the family's 1533-position model. The record is from RNAcentral.
AUUGAACGCUGGCGGAAUGCUUUACACAUGCAAGUCGAACGGCAGCACGGGGGCAACCCUGGUGGCGAGUGGCGAACGGGUGAGUAAUACAUCGGAACGUGCCCAGUCGUGGGGGAUAACGUAGCGAAAGCUACGCUAAUACCGCAUACGAUCUACGGAUGAAAGCGGGGGAUCGCAAGACCUCGCGCGAUUGGAGCGGCCGAUGGCAGAUUAGGUAGUUGGUGAGGUAAAGGCUCACCAAGCCGACGAUCUGUAGCUGGUCUGAGAGGACGACCAGCCACACUGGGACUGAGACACGGCCCAGACUCCUACGGGAGGCAGCAGUGGGGAAUUUUGGACAAUGGGCGCAAGCCUGAUUCAGCCAUUCCGCGUGCAGGAUGAAGGCCCUCGGGUUGUAAACUGCUUUUGUACGGAACGAAACGGCUCUCUCUAAUACAGGGGGCUAAUGACGGUACCGUAAGAAUAAGCACCGGCUAACUACGUGCCAGCCGCCGCCGUAA